This 59-nucleotide transfer RNA is filed under the name Eutreptiella gymnastica. The record is from RNAcentral. Lineage: Eukaryota; Euglenozoa; Euglenophyceae; Eutreptiales; Eutreptiaceae.
AGUGGUCGAGUGGUAGAACAAUUGCCUAACGACUCGCCGAAUGUCGAUUCGAAUCCCAG